AAUGUUCAUGGUUUAAAAGCAUCAAAAAUGGAUUUGGACGUCACCUUUCGAUACAUAAUUCGCAAUACAAACACACAAAACUAACUUUCCAAAAUCAGGACACAUUUUAAUGAAUGACCUUCACCGCACUUUUGUUUGAAACUAUAAUGUAGAUCUCUGAUAUGUUCAAUUAAUUUUUACCACUCCGUAUCAAUAAUUUACCUGUUUCUGGGGCUAAUAUUAAAGACUUCUCAGUUUGGCAGCUAUUACAGGCCCUAUUUUUCAAGAUGUCGAGCCCCGGCAGAUCUUAUCUCCACGAAUAGAAACAGCCAGAUCAUCUCUCAUGGUUAUUUCUGUUCUCUUCAAUUUAGCACCAGGGUUUUUAGUGGAAUGUAUGACUGAUUUCAAACUUUUGAAAUCACUCAUUUUGGGUACUGCCUGAAAAACUCACAGAUGAGUUUCCAAUUAGUCGUUCUCGUUUCAUUGUUACGCUUCAUUUAUGAUCUGCUUUGAAGAUUUGCACUCGUGCCUGCAGCAGAGUGAAAUAAGAGUGUGACCUGUCUGUCUGAGGCGAGGUGUCUGUGGCUUCCAUGGAGCCGUCCUGAUCAGUAUUUACAUGUUUAACAUCCCCAUUUGCUUCACUUUACGUUAAGCUGUUUAUUUAAACUUUGCAAUCCUGAGGAAAGCUGCGAAUUAAAAAAAAAAAAAUCCUGUUUUUCUGUCUGUAUGACUCCUUAUUGCAGGAAUACAAGAGUCCACAGCAGGAAUGGUUGAUCAAAAAGUUGAUGUCUGUUGAGGUAGAAAUGUGUUUCCUUUCUGCAUUCAUUUUUGAUAAUGACUGUGUGAUCAAAAUACUCUCUUUUCUAGAGCAGAGUUUUAUCAUAAUACCUUACUGAGGCUGGUACAAAGCUCAUAUUGUGGUUUUUAUUCAGUUAUGAUUCAGCUAUUGUCUCUGAAUCACCUCUUUAUGUACGAGAAGGGCUUUGUCGUUUGGGCAGGUGUUCCAAGACAAAAAAAAUGAAGUGCAUGGACCAUCCCUCACCUGGAAAUGGUUCGAAGUGGAUCCAAGGGAAAAAUGUCAACGCCCAAGGCUCCUGCUAGGAUUACUCCAUCCCAGAUAAUGAAUUUUAUCCUAAUCUUCUUAUCUCAGCUGAGUCUAUUUAAGCUUGUGGAAGACAUGUUUUAUUUCCUUGAUGCACCAGAGUCAGUUUACAGAGUAAACAACUGGAUGCUUUAAGUUUGAAAUUAAAACGUGAGCCAGCGCUACAAAAAUCCUCUUCCAUGAGGUCAUCAGAGGCUGUUUCUUCUCAGAGUUCCUGAACUUCUUUUGAUUAGCUGAAGAAAUUGAUAUUGAAAAUAAAUUAUGAGCUGUCACAACAGACAGAACAAACCCUCGUCUUUGAGAGUUAAACAUCAGGAUUUUUGGCACAGACCUCACAACAUUAACAGACAAAAAGCUGGAGAGGUCAUCAAACACAUUUAGUCCUUUUAUCAACCAGAGAUGUGAACUGCCUUCUUGGUUUGGAGUUUCUGCACUUCAAAACAGUUCCCCGGAAUCUAGUAAACUCCCAAAGCCUUAAUCCUAACUGUCCUUCUGGUGGAUACGGGCUGUCUGCAGGCAGAAAAUUGGUAAACCUGUACAGAACACGCAAGAGGUCUACACAAAUGAAGCUACGGUCACAUAUACCAAAAUACCACAGCGCAGUGGCCUACAUGCAGUUUUUCAGAAAACUGUAAUCGGGAGGCAGAAGCCAAGGUUCUAGAAAAAAAAUUAAGCGUAGAUCUGAUAUUUGCUACAUGGGAAUAUUUGGACGUCCGCCAGCGGGUGGGUGGCAAGCUCUCAUAGUACACUGAGGACUAGUGUUGCAUGAACUCUAUAACACAAACUGCAGGAUACAAAAAUGAAAAACAAUCUGAAACUUCCCACGUUCCCAUUAAUACAGACAAACACAAGCACUCUGGGAAGCAAAAUAAAAAAAA
Molecule: long non-coding RNA, 1959 nt
Organism: Oryzias melastigma (Indian medaka)
Lineage: Eukaryota; Metazoa; Chordata; Actinopteri; Beloniformes; Adrianichthyidae
Exons: 2
Source: RefSeq, a predicted model, not a curated record